GUCUUUUUGAUCAUAAUUUAAAGUCUAAUCUGCCCACUGAUAAUAUUAAAGGGCUGCAGUAUUUUGACUGUACAAAGGUAGCAUAAUCAAUAGUUUUUUAAUUGAAAACUUGUAUGAAAGAUUUAAUGAAAUAUUAACUGUCUCUUAAUUAUUAUUAAAAUUUUAUUUUUUAGUUAAAAAGCUAAAAUAAAUUUAAAAGACGAGAAGACCCUAUAGAGUUUUAUAUUUAAUUUAAUUAUUAUAUUAUAUAUAAAUUAAAUUUAAAAAUUAAAUUAAAUAUUAUAUUGGGGUGAUAAAAAAAUUAAUUUAACUUUUUUUAAUAAAUUAACAUAAAUAAAUGAAUAAAUGAUCCAUAAAUAAUGAUUAAAAGAAUAAAUUACCUUAGGGAUAACAGCGUAAUGUUUUUUUUUAGUUCAAAUAAAAAAUAAAGUUUGCGACCUCGAUGUUGGAUUAAGAUAAAAUUUAAAUGCAAAAGUUUAAAAUUUUUGAUCUGUUCGAUCAUUAAAAUCUU
RNAcentral lists this ribosomal RNA (511 nucleotides) under Penthema adelma. Its description in RNAcentral is "partial 16S ribosomal RNA". The record is from RNAcentral. Lineage: Eukaryota; Metazoa; Arthropoda; Insecta; Lepidoptera; Nymphalidae.